RNAcentral lists this ribosomal RNA (639 nucleotides) under Phyllotopsis nidulans. RNAcentral's name for it is "eukaryotic LSU rRNA". The stretch from base 240 to 393 matches the Rfam family "5.8S ribosomal RNA". Lineage: Eukaryota; Fungi; Basidiomycota; Agaricomycetes; Agaricales; Phyllotopsidaceae. The record is from RNAcentral.
GUGCUGUCGCUGGCUCUUAGGAGCAUGUGCACGCCCUUUCAAUUCUCUUACCACCUGUGCACCUUUUGUAGACCUGGAUAUCUAUCAACCAAGUUUCGACUUGGCUUGGAUUUGAAGACUGCUGUUGCUCUUGUAGAGUCGGCUUUCUUCACAUUUCUUGGUCUAUGUUUUUAUAUACCCCUUUAUAAAGUUAUAGAAUGUCUUAUCAGUCAGCCUUAAAAAGCAGACUUUAUUAAUACAACUUUCAACAAUGGAUCUCUUGGUUCUCGCAUCGAUGAAGAACGCAGCGAAAUGCGAUAAGUAAUGUGAAUUGCAGAUCUCAGUGAAUCAUCGAAUCUUUGAACGCACCUUGCGCCCUUUGGUAUUCCGAAGGGCAUGCCUGUUUGAGUGUCAUUAAAUUAUCAACUACCACAGCUUUAUUGAUGUGUCGUAGCUUGGAUGUGAGGGUUUGCGGGCUCUAUUUACUGAGUCGGCUCCCUUUAAAUGCAUUAGCGGAACUCUAGUAGUCCGUCUUUUGGUGUGAUAAUUAUCUAUGCCAUGGAUGUGUCUGCGUGUUCAGCUUCUAACUGUCUUUGGACAAUCUUUGACAACUUGACCUCAAAUCAGGUAGGACUACCCGCUGAACUUAAGCAUAUCAAU